This 69-nucleotide transfer RNA is filed under the name Ictidomys tridecemlineatus (thirteen-lined ground squirrel). RNAcentral's name for it is "Spermophilus tridecemlineatus (thirteen-lined ground squirrel) tRNA". It matches the Rfam family "tRNA". From Rfam's summary of the family: Transfer RNA (tRNA) molecules are approximately 80 nucleotides in length. Their secondary structure includes four short double-helical elements and three loops (D, anti-codon, and T loops). Lineage: Eukaryota; Metazoa; Chordata; Mammalia; Rodentia; Sciuridae. The record is from Rfam by way of RNAcentral.
GGGGUUGUGGCUCAGUGGUAGGGCGCUUGCCUAGCAUGUGUGAGGCCCUGGGUUCGAUUCUCAGCACCA